GCUGCUUCUUGGCUAACGGAUGUUCCCACGCAGGGAUAAGGGCAAGGCUGGCCUGUAGAACCUAGAGGGGAAAGCACACUCCCCACGGAGGCAUAGCUCAAAGAUGAGAUGGUGGGGAGCGGGGGGUGAGUCAUCGAGGAGGACCGAGGAAGAUCCGUGUGAGGCCUCAGCCGAUCCGAUGAGAGGGGAGGAGACUGGCUGGAGCAAAACUGGGGAGACCAGGGAAAGAAGUUUAGACAGCCCCGGAAAAUAUGGACCGGACCCUGAAAGGUGCCAAUGGACGUAAUCAGAAGGCUCUCUUUUAAACUAGAGAUGAGCAGGUCAGCCUUCCGAUGGGCUGACAGAAGUAAAGAAGAUGGCUUUCAGUGAGAUUGUAGAAUCUUCAUGAAUUUCUGCAAACUGGCAGCUUAAUCUUAUAUUCCCGGAGUGGUCAGGGUACAUCUCGGCUUGGAUCUUUUUCAGUAAUAUCGGAGCUGGAAACGAGAUAUUUGCAGGAAGUGAAAACGGGCUGCUCAGAGAACAAGUCCCUCAACUGGAAAGUAGCUGAAGAUCCUAACAAUAUGAUGGGAGAGAGAGAAAAAAUACCAAGUGCUUAUUGUCGGCAACACCCAUUUCAGUGCAAAUGGCCCUACGGGGCUAGCUGUGCUCAAACUCCUGGUCCAGAGUUUUGACCCAGACUGCCUCCUCAUCUGGGACCUAAUUCCUCAAGGGCCCUUCCAACACUAUGCGGUGGCAGUCUUCACGAUGAUUUGUGGAUACCCAGAUGUUCCUAAGGCUGCCAACCCUGUCCACCGCCCAUUCUAAGUUCUGAACACAAAAAGCUGGGGGGACAGAGGGGAGGGUAUACAGUAGGCAGCAGAACGACAUGAGGGUCUUGGAAAGCUAGAAAGCUGGCUUGGACAAGAAGCCUCAGGGCUUCAGAAAGGACCCCUGUUUGUGUGGGAGAAAGGGAGGAAUGGAGAGGAAGAAGCUACAAAGAAGCCCUGGGGGUGUGGCCAGGUUUUUCUUCUGUGCAUAUUCUGGCCAAAUGUUGAGGGGAAAGGCUAGAAUAGAAAGCUCUGAAUGUCCCCAAGAAAGGUACUCAGUUUUAUUUCUUUGAGUCAUCUGAGUCACCCCCCCGCCACACACACACUAACUCCUUCCCAGAGGGGUCUCUGGUGCGAGAGCUGCCCCCCUCCCCCCCGCCCCCCCCCCCCGCGCAGAACGCUGUGCUCACACCCGGACGCAGACACCAGAAGACACCCC
Molecule: long non-coding RNA, 1245 nt
Organism: Zalophus californianus (California sea lion)
Lineage: Eukaryota; Metazoa; Chordata; Mammalia; Carnivora; Otariidae
Exons: 4
Source: RefSeq, a predicted model, not a curated record